RNAcentral lists this ribosomal RNA (253 nucleotides) under uncultured bacterium. RNAcentral describes it as "partial 16S ribosomal RNA". It matches the Rfam family "Bacterial small subunit ribosomal RNA", at positions 524 to 776 of the family's 1533-position model. The record is from RNAcentral.
UACAGAGGUCUCAAGCGUUGUCCGGAUUUACUGGGCGUAAAGAGCGCGCAGGCGGUCGUUCAAGUCGAGUGUGAAAGCCCCCGGCUCAACUGGGGAGGGUCACUCGAUACUGAUCGACUUGAAGGCAGGAGAGGGAAGCGGAAUUCCCGGUGUAGUGGUGAAAUGCGUAGAUAUCGGGAGGAACACCAGUGGCGAAGGCGGCUUCCUGGACCGACAUUGACGCUGAACGGCGAAAGCUAGGGGAGCAAACGGG